CAACCUGAGAGUUUGAUCCUGGCUCAGAACGAACGCUGGCGGCAGGCCUAACACAUGCAAGUCGAACGCCCUCUUCGGAGGGAGUGGCAGACGGGUGAGUAACGCGUGGGAACCUACCCAAGGGUACGGAAUAACUCAGGGAAACUUGGGCUAAUACCGUAUACGUCCUUCGGGAGAAAGAUUUAUCGCCCCUGGAUGGGCCCGCGUCGGAUUAGCUUGUUGGUGAGGUAAAAGCUCACCAAGGCGACGAUCCGUAGCUGGUCUGAGAGGAUGAUCAGCCACACUGGGACUGAGACACGG
This 300-nucleotide ribosomal RNA is filed under the name Rhodobiaceae bacterium. RNAcentral describes it as "partial 16S ribosomal RNA". It matches the Rfam family "Bacterial small subunit ribosomal RNA", at positions 1 to 329 of the family's 1533-position model. Lineage: Bacteria; Pseudomonadati; Pseudomonadota; Alphaproteobacteria; Hyphomicrobiales; Rhodobiaceae. The record is from RNAcentral.